AUAUAUAUGCGGGAGGCUUUAAAUAACCGCAAUUAACUUGGCUUUCUAAACUUAUUACAAAUGCGCUUUCGAUUCGCUUUAAAACGCAACGUCCUAAGUAUACACAAUAGCAGAAGAAAAAAAUCGAUUCCCUUAGCAACUCGAAAAUUCCGCACUAUAGAUAUAGGCUCCAAAACCAUAUAAACAGCCUCCGCGCGGAUUCCUUUGUUUGCAAACAGUGUGCUUCAUCUCGAAGUGCGACCCGUCAUUCGAAAACUAACUAAGUAGCUCUCUUCUAUCGGUUCGCAGAAACUCGGGCCAAGCACCAUUCGCACUAAUGCGGAAAAGUCUCGUUAUAACUAUAGAGUAUAGAACUCAUCAGAUGCAAAAGGAAAAAAAUCAUUCGGCGGAGAUGCACGCACAUCUCUCCAUUGUUUCCAUAACCUCAAACCAGAACAGCAGGCAGCAGCACACAACAGAGUUGGAAAAUCCUCGAGGUAGGUCGUCGGUUCCCAGGGGGGAAACUUCGGCUUGACGAAGGAGUCGUCGAGGACCUCCUCCAUGGCUUGCGAGGGAGAGUUGGCGACGUAUAAGAAGAUAAAGUAUAGGUGUGCGGAAAAGAAAAGACUAUGCACUGCACUGCACACGGACAGACGCGCCCUUCCCCGAAAAAGUGUAGCGCCACGCACUACUGCUGCACACAGCCGAUUACACUCGUCGCGAUAAAGUGGAGUAAAAGAAGCUGCUGCGGUCGAGUGGCCGCCGGCGGAGGUCUUCAGACAUCCUCUACACUGUGAUACGCUCUGGGAGAGAAGCUGAAGCUGUGUGCGUAGAUAAAAACGCAUAACCCACCUGCUUGAUUGCGUCCUCGUGAAACUGCGCAAGAAGAGUGGCAUCGGAGGAGUUAUCAAUGAGGUCGUGCUCGGCGGAAUCGGCAACAACUGCAGCGAC
This is a long non-coding RNA of Nasonia vitripennis (jewel wasp), 930 nucleotides long. RefSeq lists it as uncharacterized. The record is from RefSeq and is a predicted model, not a curated record. The transcript is spliced from 3 exons. Lineage: Eukaryota; Metazoa; Arthropoda; Insecta; Hymenoptera; Pteromalidae.